GGAGUUAGCCGGUGCUUCUUCUGUGAGUGAUGUCCUUCCUGCCGGCUAUUAACCCGCAGGCCUUCUUCCUCACUGAAAGUGCUUUACAACCCGAAGGCCUUCUUCACACACGCGGCAUGGCUGGAUCAGGGUUGCCCCCAUUGUCCAAUAUUCCCCACUGCUGCCUCCCGUAGGAGUCUGGGCCGUGUCUCAGUCCCAGUGUGGCUGAUCAUCCUCUCAGACCAGCUACGGAUCGUCGCCUUGGUGAGCCGUUACCUCACCAACCAGCUAAUCCGACAUAGGCUCAUCCGAUAGCGCGAGGCCCGAAGGUCCCCCGCUUUCCCCCGUAGGGCGUAUGCGGUAUUAGCCUGGGUUUCCCCAGGUUAUCCCCCACUACCGGGCAGAUUCCUAUGCAUUACUCACCCGUCCGCCGCUCGCCACCAGGGAGCAAGCUCCCCGUGCUGCCGCUCGACUUGCAUGUGUUAGGCCUGCCGCCAGCGUUCAAUCUGAGCCAGANCGACCCUACGA
RNAcentral lists this ribosomal RNA (507 nucleotides) under uncultured bacterium. RNAcentral's name for it is "partial 16S ribosomal RNA". The record is from RNAcentral.